This 464-nucleotide ribosomal RNA is filed under the name uncultured bacterium. RNAcentral's name for it is "partial 16S ribosomal RNA". It matches the Rfam family "Bacterial small subunit ribosomal RNA", at positions 339 to 795 of the family's 1533-position model. The record is from RNAcentral.
CUACGGGGGGCACCAGUGGGGAAUAUUGCACAAUGGGCGCAAGCCUGAUGCAGCCAUGCCGCGUGUAUGAAGAAGGCCUUCGGGUUGUAAAGUACUUUCAGCGGGGAGGAAGGGAGUAAAGUUAAUACCUUUGCUCAUUGACGUUACCCGCAGAAGAAGCACCGGCUAACUCCGUGCCAGCAGCCGCGGUAAUACGGAGGGUGCAAGCGUUAAUCGGAAUUACUGGGCGUAAAGCGCACGCAGGCGGUUUGUUAAGUCAGAUGUGAAAUCCCCGGGCCCGACCUGGGAACUGCAUCUGAUACUGGCAAGCUUGAGUCUCGUAGAGGGGGGUAGAAUUCCAGGUGUAGCGGUGAAAUGCGUAGAGAUCUGGAGGAAUACCGGUGGCGAAGGCGGCCCCCUGGACGAAGACUGACGCUCAGGUGCGAAAGCGUGGGGAGCAAACAGGAUUAGAUACCCGUGUAGUC